UACGUAGGGGGCGAGCGUUGUCCGGAUUCAUUGGGCGUAAAGCGCUUUAAGGCGGUUCGCUAAGUCGGGUGUGAAACCUCCAGGCUCAACCUGGAGACGCCACUCGAUACUGGCGUGACUAGAGUUCGGUAGGGGACCACGGAAUUCCUGGUGUAGCGGUGAAAUGCGCAGAUAUCAGGAGGAACACCAGUGGCGAAGGCGGUGGUCUGGGCCGAUACUGACGCUGGUAGAGCGAAAGCGUGGGGAGCGAACAGG
Molecule: ribosomal RNA, 255 nt
Filed under: uncultured bacterium
Lineage: Bacteria
Description: partial 16S ribosomal RNA
Rfam family: Bacterial small subunit ribosomal RNA
Source: RNAcentral